CCCUUAGACGUUCUGGGCCGCACGCGCGCUACACUGACGAAGGCAACGAGCUUUCCUUUACCGAAAGGUACGGGUAAUCUUUUGAAACUUCGUCGUGCUGGGGAUAGAUCCUUGCAAUUAUUGAUCUUAAACGAGGAAUUCCUAGUAAGCGCAAGUCAUCAACCUGCGUUGAUUACGUCCCUGCCCUUUGUACACACCGCCCGUCGCUACUACCGAUUGAAUGGUUUAGUGAGGCCUUCGGAUCCGCGACUCGUUUUGUGGAGAAGUUGGACAAACUCAGUCAUUUAGAGGAAGUAAAAGUCGUAACA
Molecule: ribosomal RNA, 308 nt
Filed under: uncultured eukaryote
Lineage: Eukaryota
Description: partial 18S ribosomal RNA
Rfam family: Eukaryotic small subunit ribosomal RNA
Source: RNAcentral